UACGAACGGUGCGAGUGUUGUUCGGAAUCACUGGGCGUAAAGGGCGCGUAGGCGGGCUGUCAAGUCUGGGGUGAAAUGCCGCGGCUCAACCGUGGAACUGCCUUAGAUACUGACGGCCUCGAGGAAGGUAGGGGCAUGCGGAACUCUAGGUGUAGCGGUGAAAUGCGUUGAUAUCUACAGGAACUCCGGUGGCGAAAGCGGCGUGCUGGACCUUUUCUGACGCUGAGGCGCGAAAGCUAGGGGAGCAAACGGG
This 253-nucleotide ribosomal RNA is filed under the name uncultured bacterium. RNAcentral describes it as "partial 16S ribosomal RNA". It matches the Rfam family "Bacterial small subunit ribosomal RNA", at positions 524 to 776 of the family's 1533-position model. The record is from RNAcentral.